AAACGCUACCGUUUCCGGAAAAAACGCAGGAGUGGCCGGAGAAACGGUGGGAGUGCCUGGGCGAACGCUGGGUGUGUUUAUGACGUCAGCCAGGAACGAAAAGCACUGAACUGAUCGCACAGGCAGAGAAGGAUGUCGGACUACAACACCACCAGCACCUCAGACACGUCGCUCUGAUGACAGAAACAACGCAGAGAAAGCCUGAGUAUGGAGGAGCCACACAGAGGAGAAAUGCUGAGCGCUGCUGCUGCCAUAGACCGGGCAGAUCCCCACCCGUCACCCUGCUUGUCUUCUGCU
Long non-coding RNA from Pseudophryne corroboree (corroboree frog), 297 nucleotides. RefSeq lists it as uncharacterized. Lineage: Eukaryota; Metazoa; Chordata; Amphibia; Anura; Myobatrachidae. The transcript is spliced from 4 exons. The record is from RefSeq and is a predicted model, not a curated record.